GGGGAUUUAGCUCAGUGGUAGAGCGUUUGCCUAGCAAGCGCAAGGCCCUGCAUUCAGUCCCCA
Non-coding RNA from Rattus norvegicus (Norway rat), 63 nucleotides. The record is from Rfam. Lineage: Eukaryota; Metazoa; Chordata; Mammalia; Rodentia; Muridae.